RNAcentral lists this transfer RNA (63 nucleotides) under Tetragnatha maxillosa. RNAcentral describes it as "tRNA-Cys". The record is from RNAcentral. Lineage: Eukaryota; Metazoa; Arthropoda; Arachnida; Araneae; Tetragnathidae.
AAAUUAGUUUAUAAAAACAUUAAAUUGCAAAUUUAAAAUUAUUUUUGAAAUCAAUUAAUGAUG